AUUUUGUUAUUAUUUUAGCUCAAGUGACCCUCUCUCCUCAGUCUCCCGAGUAUUUAACAGUUUGGACUACAAGUGUGCACCAUCAACACCGCACAGAAGGGAGUGAGUGUGAAGUGGCCCUCAGCACUCUCCCAGAUCAAGGUCAACCAGCAGCUCUGGAGGUCUGCACACACAUGCUGUCUACACCUGGCCAAGAAAAGGAAAUUUCCACGGACUAAGGGUCACUAGGAGAUACGUCAUUCCCGGCGACAUGUCUGUCCCGGAACCCCGUCAGCAGGACAGAGGCUGCAGCAGCACGACCUCGUCUUCACUGUGACAAUUUAAUCUUGGAAAAAUGCAUUUUAAAAAAUCAAACAAAAUAAAAUAUUUGAACUAACACUGGGAGAAUUUACUGUGCUGGGCAUGUUCUCUUUUAAGUUCCGUUCUCACCCACAGCAGCGCAUGUGCACGGUUCACAGUGGCUCAAAGCACCCGGAGAGGCUCCAGGGAGACGCAGGGC
This 499-nucleotide long non-coding RNA is filed under the name Homo sapiens (human). Its description in RNAcentral is "non-protein coding lnc-PSMA7-2:1". Lineage: Eukaryota; Metazoa; Chordata; Mammalia; Primates; Hominidae. The record is from RNAcentral.